AGAUCAGAGGGACACUUAUACCCAUAUCCUUUGUGAGCUACUCUUGACAGUAGAGUGCUCCGCAGUUGGUCACGUUCAGUGAGAUGUACAUUUACAUCUCACUUAUAUGCCAUACUAGUAUCUCCACACUCCUUGAUUAAUAGGAUAACCAACGCUCAUGGUACAUAAUGAUCUAUACUUGAUAUAGCUAUCAUCCUAAUA
RNAcentral lists this long non-coding RNA (201 nucleotides) under Elaeis guineensis (African oil palm). RNAcentral describes it as "long non-coding RNA (EGUI_LNC021687)". Lineage: Eukaryota; Viridiplantae; Streptophyta; Magnoliopsida; Arecales; Arecaceae. The record is from RNAcentral.